Molecule: ribosomal RNA, 502 nt
Filed under: uncultured bacterium
Lineage: Bacteria
Description: partial 16S ribosomal RNA
Rfam family: Bacterial small subunit ribosomal RNA
Source: RNAcentral
AUUGAACGCUGGCGGCAUGCCUUACACAUGCAAGUCGAACGGCAGCAUAGGAGCUUGCUCCUGAUGGCGAGUGGCGAACGGGUGAGUAAUAUAUCGGAACGUGCCCUAGAGUGGGGGAUAACUAGUCGAAAGACUAGCUAAUACCGCAUACGAUCUACGGAUGAAAGUGGGGGAUCGCAAGACCUCAUGCUCCUGGAGCGGCCGAUAUCUGAUUAGCUAGUUGGUGGGGUAAAAGCCUACCAAGGCGACGAUCAGUAGCUGGUCUGAGAGGACGGCCAGCCACACUGGGACUGAGACACGGCCCAGAGUCCUACGGGAGGCAGCAGUGGGGAAUUUUGGACAAUGGGGGCAACCCUGAUCCAGCAAUGCCGCGUGAGUGAAGAAGGCCUUCGGGUUGUAAAGCUCUUUUGUCAGGGAAGAAACGGUAGUAGCUAAUAUCUAUUACUAAUGACGGUACCUGAAGAAUAAGCACCGGCUAACUACGUGCCAGCCGCCGCCGUAA